GAUGAACGCUGGCGGCGUGCCUAAUACAUGCAAGUCGAGCGAACAGACGAGGAGCUUGCUCCUCUGACGUUAGCGGCGGACGGGUGAGUAACACGUGGAUAACCUACCUAUAAGACUGGGAUAACUUCGGGAAACCGGAGCUAAUACCGGAUAAUAUAUUGAACCGCAUGGUUCAAUAGUGAAAGACGGUUUUGCUGUCACUUAUAGAUGGAUCCGCGCCGCAUUAGCUAGUUGGUAAGGUAACGGCUUACCAAGGCAACGAUGCGUAGCCGACCUGAGAGGGGGAUCGGCCACACGGGAACUGAGACACGGUCCAGACUCCUACGGGAGGCAGCAGUAGGGAAUCUUCCGCAAAGGGCGAAAGCCUGACGGAGCAACGCCGCGUGAGUGAUGGAGGUCUUCGGAUCGUAAAACUCUGUUAUUAGGGAAGAACAAAUGUGUAAGUAACUAUGCACGUCUUGACGGUACCUGAUCAGAAAGCCACGGCUAACUACGUG
This 497-nucleotide ribosomal RNA is filed under the name uncultured bacterium. Its description in RNAcentral is "partial 16S ribosomal RNA". It matches the Rfam family "Bacterial small subunit ribosomal RNA", at positions 28 to 507 of the family's 1533-position model. The record is from RNAcentral.